RNAcentral lists this ribosomal RNA (496 nucleotides) under uncultured bacterium. RNAcentral's name for it is "partial 16S ribosomal RNA". It matches the Rfam family "Bacterial small subunit ribosomal RNA", at positions 29 to 507 of the family's 1533-position model. The record is from RNAcentral.
AUGAACGCUGGCGGCGUGCCUAAUACAUGCAAGUCGAGCGAACGGACGAGAGGCUUGCUUUUCUGAUGUUAGCGGCGGACGGGUGAGUAACACGUGGAUAACCUACCUAUAAGACUGGGAUAACUUCGGGAAACCGGAGCUAAUACCGGAUAAUAUUUUGAACCGCAUGUUUCAAAAGUGAAAGACGGUCUUGCUGUCACUUAUAGAUGGAUCCGCGCUGCAUUAGCUAGUUGGUAAGGUAACGGCUUACCAAGGCAACGAUGGAUAGCCGACCUGAGAGGGUGAUCGGCCACCCGGGAACUGAGACAGGUCCCAGACUCCUAGGGGAGGAAGCAGUAGGGAAUCUUCCGCGAUGGGCGAGAGCCUGAUGGAGCAAAGCCGGGUGAGUGCUGAAGGUCUUCGGAUCGUAAAACUCUGUUAUUAGGGAAGAACAUAUGUGUAAGUAACUGUGCACAUAUUGACGGUACCUAAUCAGAAAGCCACGGCUAACUACGUG